CUAAGUGGGUGGUAAACUCCAUCUAAGGCUAAAUAUGACCACGAGACCGAUAGCGAACAAGUACCGUGAGGGAAAGUUGAAAAGCACUUUGAAGAGAGAGUUCAAGAGUACGUGAAACCGUUUAGGGGUAAACCUGAGAAACCCGAAAGGUCGAAGGGAGAAAUUCAUUCGCGUUUCGGUCGUCGGCGCUCGACGGUCGUGCGACGGAGGACGCGUUCGCGCGCGUCGUCCGCGCCUCUCGUCGCGUCCGACUUCUUCGAACGCGUGCACUUUUCUCCUGGUAGGACGUCGCGAUCCGUUGAACGUCGGUCUACGGCCCGCGGUGGAGCCCGCUCGUACGGUUCGCGCCGUGUCGAGAGGACCCGUGGUGACCCGGCCGACACGUUCGACGGUAUAAGAAUGGCCGAGGGCCGCUUACAGAGCGUCCGACUCGAUGCAAGCGCAUCAGACAUGUCGAAUAUCGGACCCAGUGCCGAUACCGACACCUGGUGACUGUUGGCAACGAUGUUCUUGGACAGACCCUCUCUCCGUAUGGCCGAUCUGCGACGCUAUAGCUUUGGGUAAUUUCAGGACCCGUCUUGAAACACGGACCAAGGAGUCUAGCAUGUGCGCGAGUCAUUGGGAAACACUAAACCUAAAGGCGCAAUGAAAGUGAAGGUUCGCCUCGCGCGAACCGAGGGAGGAUAGGCGAUUCGCCCUUAAAGCGGUCGCCUCGCACUCCCGGGGCGUCUCGAUCUCAUUGCGAGAUGAGGCGCACCA
RNAcentral lists this ribosomal RNA (759 nucleotides) under Myrtonymus zelandicus. RNAcentral describes it as "partial large subunit ribosomal RNA". It matches the Rfam family "Eukaryotic large subunit ribosomal RNA", at positions 288 to 796 of the family's 3401-position model. Lineage: Eukaryota; Metazoa; Arthropoda; Insecta; Coleoptera; Brachyceridae. The record is from RNAcentral.